Molecule: long non-coding RNA, 876 nt
Filed under: Salvia miltiorrhiza (redroot sage)
Lineage: Eukaryota; Viridiplantae; Streptophyta; Magnoliopsida; Lamiales; Lamiaceae
Description: long non-coding RNA (SMIL_LNC014208)
Source: RNAcentral
UCUAAAUCCAUAACGUUUAUAAAAAAUUGGUUUUUGUAACUAAUUUAAAAAAUCGACUUCUAAAUUCAUAACCUUCCGUUUUUGUUUCAAAUUAGUCCGGUGACCCAUUUUUUCUUACGCCGGCGCCGGAAGUGACACGGUGGCAGCCGAAAUUGACAGUGUCACGGUAACACAUUUAAGACAUGUGGAAAAAAAAUAAUAAAAAAACAUCCACAUCAUCAUCUUCCCCAAUCUCCCCCACUCCCAAACUCUAACUUCCCCUCCCCCGACCCGCCCGCGCCACUUGCCGCCAUCACACGUCGGUGUCGGCCGCCUCCUCUCCCUCCCCAUACCCGUUGGCCCUCCUCCUCCCCAGACCCCAUCUGCCCCCUCCCCCAUCCCCAGAUCCCAUCUGCCCUUCCCCGGUCAGGCUUUCAACGGAGAAAUCGCCAGAUUUCGGAUUCACAACAGAGCUCGUCUGCUUGCGAAUGGAGCUCGCCUGCUAUGCUACUCCGCCGAACCACCGCUGCUGCCGCCAUCGUAUUCCACCGCACCAUCAUCAAAAUCUCAUCCUUCGCCAAAAUACCAUGGAAAUACAAGUCCAAAGCCAUCCAAGAAUAGUAGCUGGCAGCGUUUCUAGAAUACCUUCACACAAAUCAAGAGAGAGAAGAACGGACAAGAGGGGCGGCGCCCUCGUCCGGGCACGUCCGCGCCAGAAGUCGAAGGCUGUUGCGGCAAAUUGGAAAAGAAGGAAACUUUUAGGGCUCGUUUUGGUGUGGAGGUUCCGUGGAAGACAGAGAUAGCAGAGAUGAUCUUCGGCGCGAGGCAGCGACCCACGUCGGAGGAGGCGCCGCCAAUGGUGAAAGCAGGGGGCGGUGGCGGCGUGUGGUGGCGGCG